AUUGAACGCUGGCGGCAGGCCUAACACAUGCAAGUCGAACGGUAACAGGAAGAAGCUUGCUUCUUUGCUGACGAGUGGCGGACGGGUGAGUAAUGUCUGGGAAACUGCCUGAUGGAGGGGGAUAACUACUGGAAACGGUAGCUAAUACCGCAUAACGUCGCAAGCCCAAAGAGGGGGACCUUCGGGCCUCUUGCCAUCGGAUGUGCCCAGAUGGUAUUAGCUAGUAGGUGGGGUAACGGCUCACCUAGGCGACGAUCCCUAGCUGGUCUGAGAGGAUGACCAGCCACACUGGAACUGGGACACGGUCCAGACUCCUACGGGAGGCAGCAGUGGGGAAUAUUGCACAAUGGGCGCAAGCCUGAUGCAGCCAUGCCGCGUGUAUGAAGAAGGCCUUCGGGUUGUAAAGUACUUUCAGCGGGGAGGAAGGGAGUAAAGUUAAUACCUUUGCUCAUUGACGUUACCCGCAGAAGAAGCACCGGCUAACUCCGUG
Molecule: ribosomal RNA, 490 nt
Filed under: uncultured bacterium
Lineage: Bacteria
Description: partial 16S ribosomal RNA
Rfam family: Bacterial small subunit ribosomal RNA
Source: RNAcentral